RNAcentral lists this ribosomal RNA (544 nucleotides) under uncultured bacterium. Its description in RNAcentral is "bacterial SSU rRNA". It matches the Rfam family "Bacterial small subunit ribosomal RNA", at positions 777 to 1318 of the family's 1533-position model. The record is from RNAcentral.
AAUAGAUACCCCGGUAGUCCACGCCGUAAACGAUGAGUGCUAAGUGUUAGGGGGUUUCCGCCCCUUAGUGCUGCAGCUAACGCAUUAAGCACUCCGCCUGGGGAGUACGGUCGCAAGACUGAAACUCAAAGGAAUUGACGGGGGCCCGCACAAGCGGUGGAGCAUGUGGUUUAAUUCGAAGCAACGCGAAGAACCUUACCAGGUCUUGACAUCCCGUUGACCACUGUAGAGAUAUAGUUUCCCCUUCGGGGGCAACGGUGACAGGUGGUGCAUGGUUGUCGUCAGCUCGUGUCGUGAGAUGUUGGGUUAAGUCCCGCAACGAGCGCAACCCUUGAUCUUAGUUGCCAUCAUUUAGUUGGGCACUCUAAGGUGACUGCCGGUGACAAACCGGAGGAAGGUGGGGAUGACGUCAAAUCAUCAUGCCCCUUAUGACCUGGGCUACACACGUGCUACGAAUGGACGAUACAAACGGUUGCCAACUCGCGAGAGGGAGCUAAUCCGAUAAAGUCGUUCUCAGUUCGGAUUGUAGGCUGCAACUCGCCUA